GCCCCGGUGGUGCAGUGUUAGCACGCGUCACCGGCAUGGAUGAAGCGCGGUUUCGACUGCCGUCUGAGGUC
Non-coding RNA from Parelaphostrongylus tenuis, 71 nucleotides. The record is from the annotation of a GenBank genome assembly. NCBI's taxonomy places the organism in Eukaryota, Metazoa, Nematoda, Chromadorea, Rhabditida, Metastrongylidae.